Molecule: ribosomal RNA, 648 nt
Filed under: uncultured Thermoplasmatales archaeon
Lineage: Archaea; Methanobacteriati; Thermoplasmatota; Thermoplasmata; Thermoplasmatales
Description: bacterial SSU rRNA
Rfam family: Archaeal small subunit ribosomal RNA
Source: RNAcentral
GUGCCAGCAGCCGCGCGGUAAUACCCGCAGCUCGAGUGGUGGUCGCUUUUAUUGAGCCUAAAACGUUCGUAGUCGGCCUUGUAAAUCCCCGGGUAAAUCGGACCGCUUAACGGUUCGAAUUCCGGGGAGACUGCAAGGCUAGGGACCGGGCGAGGUCAGAGGUACUUUCGGGGUAGGAGUGAAAUCCUGUAAUCCCGAAGGGACCACCUGUGGCGAAAGCGUCUGACUUGAACGGCUCCGACGAUGAGGAACGAAGGCUAGGGGAGCAAACCGGAUUAGAUACCCGGGUAGUCCUAGCUGUAAACUCUGCCCGCUUGGUGUGGCCUGUCCUUCGGGGGCAGGCUGUGCCGGAGCGAAGGUGUUAAGCGGGCUGCUUGGGGAGUACGGCCGCAAGGUUGAAACUUAAAGGAAUUGGCGGGGGAGCACCGCAACGGGAGGAUGCGUGCGGUUUAAUUGGAUUCAACGCCGGAAAACUCACCUGAGGAGACCAGCGUAUGUGGGUCAAGCCGAAGACUUUACCCGAACAACAGCUGGAGAGGUGGUGCAUGGCCAUCGUCAGCUCGUACCGUAGGGCAUUCACUUAAGUGUGAUAACGAGCGAGACCCCCAUCCCUAGUUGCUAACCCCUCCGAAAGGAGAGGUGCACUCU